UACGGAGGAUGCGAGCGUUAUCCGGAUUUAUUGGGUUUAAAGGGUGCGUAGGCGGUUCGUUAAGUCAGCGGUAAAAUUGCGGGGCUCAACCCCGUCGAGCCGUUGAAACUGGCGGACUUGAGUUGGCGAGAAGUACGCGGAAUGCGCGGUGUAGCGGUGAAAUGCAUAGAUAUCGCGCAGAACUCCGAUUGCGAAGGCAGCGUACCGGCGCCAGACUGACGCUGAGGCACGAAAGCGUGGGGAUCGAACAGG
Molecule: ribosomal RNA, 252 nt
Filed under: uncultured bacterium
Lineage: Bacteria
Description: partial 16S ribosomal RNA
Rfam family: Bacterial small subunit ribosomal RNA
Source: RNAcentral